AACGCGAAGAACCUUACCUGGGUUUGACAUACACCGGACAGUCGUGGAGACAUGGCCUCCGCAAGGUCGGUGUACAGGUGGUGCAUGGCUGUCGUCAGCUCGUGUCGUGAGAUGUUGGGUUAAGUCCCGCAACGAGCGCAACCCUUGUCCUAUGUUGCCAGCGGGUGAUGCCGGGGACUCAUGGGAGACUGCCGGGGUCAACUCGGAGGAAGGUGGGGACGACGUCAAGUCAUCAUGCCCCUUAUGUCCAGGGCUUCACACAUGCUACAAUGGCCGGUACAGAGGGCUGCGAAGCCGUGAGGUGGAGCGAAUCCCACAAAGCCGGUCUCAGUUCGGAUCGGGGUCUGCAACUCGACCCCGUGAAGUCGGAGUCGCUAGUAAUCGCAGAUCAGCAACGCUGCGGUGAAUACGUUCCCGGGCCUUGUACACACCGUGUCGA
This 439-nucleotide ribosomal RNA is filed under the name uncultured bacterium. Its description in RNAcentral is "bacterial SSU rRNA". It matches the Rfam family "Bacterial small subunit ribosomal RNA", at positions 958 to 1400 of the family's 1533-position model. The record is from RNAcentral.